RNAcentral lists this transfer RNA (77 nucleotides) under Thermoprotei archaeon. Its description in RNAcentral is "tRNA-Met". It matches the Rfam family "tRNA". From Rfam's summary of the family: Transfer RNA (tRNA) molecules are approximately 80 nucleotides in length. The record is from RNAcentral. Lineage: Archaea; Thermoproteati; Thermoproteota; Thermoprotei.
AGCCGGGUGGCGCAGGCAGGCAGCGCGCCGGGCUCAUAACCCGGAGGUCGGUGGUUCAAAUCCACCCCCGGCUACCA